UUGUUGGAGAGUUUGAUCCUGGCUCAGGACGAACGCUGGCGGCGUGCUUAACACAUGCAAGUCGAACGAGGUCCACCGCGUAGCAAUACAAGGGAAGACCUAGUGGCGAACGGGUGCGUAACACGUGAGGAACUUGUCCCGGUCUCUGGGAUAACAGUUGGAAACGACUGCUAAUACCGGAUGACGUCGGAAUCUCGCAUGGGAUACUGACGAAAGGGUUACUGGAUCGGGAGAGCCUCGCGGCCUAUCAGCUUGUUGGUGAGGUAACGGCUCACCAAGGCAUCGACGGGUAGCUGGUCUGAGAGGAUGAUCAGCCACACUGGGACUGAGACACGGCCCAGACUCCUACGGGAGGCAGCAGUGGGGAAUCUUGCGCAAUGGGCGAAAGCCUGACGCAGCAACGCCGCGUGCGGGAAGAAGGCCCUCGGGUUGUAAACCGCUUUCAGCAGGAACGAAAAUGACGGUACUUGCAGAAGAAGGUGCGGCCAACUACGUGCCAGCAGCCGCGGUGA
This 512-nucleotide ribosomal RNA is filed under the name Acidimicrobiaceae bacterium. RNAcentral describes it as "bacterial SSU rRNA". It matches the Rfam family "Bacterial small subunit ribosomal RNA", at positions 1 to 523 of the family's 1533-position model. Lineage: Bacteria; Bacillati; Actinomycetota; Acidimicrobiia; Acidimicrobiales; Acidimicrobiaceae. The record is from RNAcentral.